Molecule: transfer RNA, 74 nt
Rfam family: tRNA
About the family: Transfer RNA (tRNA) molecules are approximately 80 nucleotides in length. Their secondary structure includes four short double-helical elements and three loops (D, anti-codon, and T loops).
Source: Rfam
GCCCUGAUGGCCCAAUUGGUUAAGGCGUCCGGCUUCGAACCGGAAGAUUGUGGGUUCAAGUCCCGCUUGGGGUU